RNAcentral lists this unclassified non-coding RNA (395 nucleotides) under soil metagenome. Its description in RNAcentral is "partial contains 5.8S ribosomal RNA, internal transcribed spacer 2, and large subunit ribosomal RNA". The stretch from base 3 to 122 matches the Rfam family "5.8S ribosomal RNA", at positions 37 to 154 of the family's 154-position model. The record is from RNAcentral.
GGUGAAGAACGUAGCGAAAUGCGAUACUUGGUGUGAAUUGCAGAAUCCCGUGAACCAUCGAGUCUUUGAACGCAAGUUGCGCCCGAAGCCAUCAGGUUGAGGGCACGUCUGCCUGGGCGUCACAUAUCGUUGCCCAAUGCCUAUUGCAGUGCAAUAGGAAUUUCUAGGGCGAAUGAUGGCUUCCCGUGAGCGUUGUUGCCUCGCGGUUGGUUGAAAAUCGAGUCCUUGGUAGGGUGUGCCAUGGUAGAUGGUGGUCGAGUUAGAACGAUACCGAUCAUGUGCAUGCUCCCCAAAAUAUGGCCUCUAUGACCCACACGCGUCUUUUGACGCUCAUGACGAGACCUCAGGUCAGGCGGGGCUACCCGCUGAAUUUAAGCAUAUCAAUAAGCGGAGGA